RNAcentral lists this long non-coding RNA (38251 nucleotides) under Citrus sinensis (sweet orange). Its description in RNAcentral is "long non-coding RNA (CSIN_LNC001096)". The record is from RNAcentral. Lineage: Eukaryota; Viridiplantae; Streptophyta; Magnoliopsida; Sapindales; Rutaceae.
AAUUACAAUCACAACGACUCACUCAGUCACACACACCAGCCCUAACCCUACCUAAGCUAUCAAACGCCAAUGCCGCUGCCGCUGUCAAAUCGAUUCAAGUGCUCCGGCGCUGAGUCUAGCCGUCCUUGAGCCGAUUUGCUUCCUUUUUCUGCCGCCGCUGUCAAUCUCUGCCAUUCUUGAGCCGAUUCACUUCCGCAAAACAGCUGCUGUCAUCUCUGCCGACAUUGCCUCUGUGUUCGUUCACCGUCAGAUGCAGGGUUAUUGUGGUGACACUGCCUCCGCUGUCGACUUCCUUCCCUCUUCAUUCUCCGUCUGAAGUUCAACUUUCUUGUAGGUGGAAGUUGCUCGGUUCUUAACAGCAGUUCUCACUGGAGAUUUUAAGUUCCUUCGACAUCUUGUGGGUAGAUAGAUAUUGCUUAGAUAUCGUAUUUUUUCCUUUUGUUGGUUCUCACUUUUGUUCUGACCUUCUUGCAGGACAUAUCCAACAGGGAAGGUUUAGCUUCUGAAGGUGACUGGUAUGACAGAUGUUUCAAUUCACGGUAAUGUUUCUGCUUCUGGAUUGGCUGUGCUGUUAUAAAUUCAUUGUUUUUUUAAUCAAAUUUCGGUGCAUGUUAUGCAGGAUCAUUCCUUUAAAGGAGGUCUCAGAAGAAAGGCCUGAUAUCUGUGUGCUGGCUGAGUUUCCAUCAGAAGGAAGGUUCGUUUUUUCUGAAAGUUUUAUGGUUGAGACUUAAACUUCAUCUGCUGUACGGCCAAGGCGGAUGUACGGUACAGCAGAUAUUUUCUUAAGUUUUUAACUUCUGAUAUUUGCUUUCUAUAAAUGAAGGUCGCUUUUGAGAAGGUUGCACCUUUACAACAUUGAAAGAAUGGAUAAUGCAUCACUGUCUAUGGCAUUGUCUGCCUGCCCAUCUCUCCUUGAUCUAGAAAUUGUUGGCCUGUAAGUUUCUUUAGGCUGGGUUUUCCUUGUAUACAUUUCCUUUGGUUUUAAGAAGGUUGCACCUUUAUAGCAUUCUGCUGUACCGUACAUCCGCCUUGCCGUACAGCAGUAUUUUAUUAAAUAUUAUUUAUUUAUUUUUAUUUUUAUUUUAAGGAUAAAAUGGGAAGAGGGGGGAGUGGAUUCCCACUCCCCACUCCAAAAUUGAGUGGGACCCACGGAUUCCCACUCCCACUCCCCCCUUUUUUAAGGCAAGUAAACACUGGAGUGGGAGGAAUCCACACUCCACACUCCCACUCCAGAAAGUAAACACUACCUAAGUGGAGUUUACUUAUUUGUUAAAAAAAUAAAUUUUAAAUUAUUAAUGAUUUAAUUGUCUUAUGCUUAUUAUAUUGUUCGUAAAAUUUUUGUUACAAGUCCAGCCCAUGAACCUCUUUAUAUUUUAGCAUUUCUUUAUUUAUUUACGAAACGAAAACCAGCGUUCGGAUUCAAAAGGAACAAAACAGAAAAAGGAAGAAAGGAAACAAGAGGAUAACAGGACGUGAGAGAGGAGAAGAGGGAGAAAGAAGAGAAAGACAAGAGAGGCUAGGUGAAGGAUUUGGAUUUAAAGAAAGAGAAUUCAAUUUCAGAGCAAAAUAUUAAAUAUCUGGCUUUUUAAAUUUGUAAGCCUUCUUUCUCAGUUCACUUUAUUCUUUUAUUUUUCUUCAAAAUUCUUGUUUAAAUUGGCAUGCAUGUUGAUGUUGUUAAGUCAUUUCUAAAUUAACUUGCAUGCAUGAUUAAAAUUCUGUUUAUUUAGGUAUUAUGUCAUUGAAAUUAGUCUCUUUUCCCAUGCUUGUUUCAAGUUCCAAUUCUUAUUUGAAAAAAAAAAAAAAAUUCGCUGUUUGUGCCAUAAUCUGUUUUGGGUAUUAAAGUUGAUACUACCUAGCAAAUUCUAAACUGUAAUGGCUGAUUUCUUCUCUUAUUUUUGUUUAAUCUAUUCAAAUUCAUGUAUAAAUUUUACAGGCGUUAGAUAUUUGUCUAAUUAUCAUGUAUGUGUUAAAUUCAUUUUGGGUGAAUUUUCAUACUAUUUAAUCAAGUUCAAAGUUACAUGGGUUUGGCCAAUUAUCACAUAAUCUCUUCUUUGACUAUUUGAUUAGAUUUUUGUUCAUGCGUGGCUUAAUUAAUUUCAAAAUCUUCUUACUUAUAAAGCAUUAAUAUCUUUUGCAAUUAAAUUCUCUAAAUUUUCCUGGCUGCUGUAUGAACAACUCUAGUUUUUUUUCCUUAAAUAAAUUUGUUUGAAUUCUAAUUAAUACUUUAAUUUAAUGGAUUAUAAUUUAAAUCUUGCAGCAGAUUAUAAUUUAUGGUGCUAAUGGUAUUUUUUUUAUUUAAUCCAUUGUUUUGUUCUUCAGGCUAUUGAUCCUAGGACUUGCAUGGUUUUAUUCAAAAUGCUAAAUUGGGUUGCAUUCCAGUGGCUGUAUUUUGACGGGAAAAGAAGUAUGUAGUGCUACUCUUCUUUUUGAUUUUUUUGAUUUUAUUGUCAUUAUUAUUUAGCUUAACGGCAACCCAAUUCACUGUGGGCCGCUGCUGUACCGUACAUCCGCCUUGGCCGUACAGCAGUAAGGAUUCAGUUUCUGAAGGGCAAGCUUGCUGGCUGGGUAUAAAUGUUCCAAGUGCCAAUCCCACCUUAUGUAAGCACAAAAUAUAGUCUCCAUUUCCUUUUUGGAUUAUAUUUGUUUGUAUAGUUAUAUGAUACUGGAUUUUAAUUUAAGAAUUUGUGCAGUACAUUUUUUUACUGUUAGGAGUUAGUUUGAUCAAGGUUAUUUAAGUACUAAACUGUUAUAAUUGAGCUUGCAUGCAUUUAAAUUUUUUUAUAUGUAAAUGACAAUUAUAUCAAUGUGUAAUGUAAAUUGAAAUUUGCCAAUGUGGCUUCAAUUGGACAGUUUAGAAUGUGAAAACAACUAUCUAAAUUUUAAUUUAAAAAAACAAUUGAAGUAUAGUAAUUUUAAAUUGUUAUCUUUUUUUAUUUUUACUCGUGCAAAAGAUGACGGUUCUUAUAUAAGAACAAUCAUUAAAGAACGAUAUAAGAUGACUGUUAUGAUACAAAACCGUCAUUAAAAUUUGAUAUUUAAUGACGGUUAUUAAAAAACUUUCAUUGAAAAUAUAUAUGUAAUGACGAUUAUUAAAAAAAUCUGUCAUUAAAAAUAUAUAUUUAAUGACGGUUAUUAAAAACCCGUCAUUAAAAGUAUAUAUUUAAUGACAGUUGUUGGCAAAAAACCGUCAUUAAAACUUAUGUACCUAUAGCAUAUAAUGACGGUUUAUUACAAUAACUGUCAUAAUAAGUAGACAUUUAAUGACGGUUUUUAAACCGUCAUAAAAAAUGUACCCCUUUAAAUGUUGCUGCCUAAGAUGACGGUUUUAAAACUGUCAUCUUAUGUCUUUUAAAACUGUCAUUAAAGGCCAAUUUUGUAGUCCUGUAUGAUCUUGAAAAAAGAACACGUACAUACUGAUAUUGCCAUAGAUAAGCUUAAAGGUCUUAUUUCUUUCUUUGAAAGCCAUAGAAAAGAUGGAUUCAUGUUUGCUGUGAUUUCAGCAAGUGAAAUGGAAAUAGAAUCUAAAUUUCAUGAAAAAAAGUAUAAUUUGUAGAAAAAGAAACAAAUUUAAUGAAAAUGUUAGUGAAGAGGAAAUGUUGUCUGUUGAAGAGUCCUUUAGAAUUAAUUAUUUUAUUUAUAUAGUAGAUCAAGUUAUUUCUACAAUAAGUUAUUUGAAAUUAUUCACAUAUAUGAUAAUAUGGUUGGAUUUUUGUUUAAUUUCAAAAAAUUACAAUCGUUAAAUGACACUACGUUUUAAAUAUUUAUUAUGUUAAUCUCGAAAAUACUUUAAAACAUGCUACACUUUCUGAUAUAGAUGGUGCAUAUUUAUUUUAAGAGUUGAGAUUUUAAAUGAAGUAUUUCAAGGUAAAAAAAAUACUAAUUAAUUAUUUGAAAACAAAUUGAUUCUUUCUCAAAUGCAUAUAUUGCAUAUAGAAUAUUAUUAAUAGUACUUGUUUCUGUAGAAAGAAGUUUUUAAAAUUAAAAUUUAUAAAAACAUAUUUAGAAUUAACAAUCUCGCAAGAGAGAACAAAUGAAUUAGCUAUAUUGAUUAUUGAGAGAAAUAUAUUCAUGAAAUUAGAACAUAAAAAUUUAAUUAAUAAUUUUGCAUUUCAGAAAGCUAGAAUAAAUUGAUCUUAAAUAAAUAAAAAUUUUAGUACAAUUCACCUACGACUUUAAAAAUUGGUUGAGUGGUUCUUGCCUACAAGACUUGCGAUGAUAAAGACACUAAAAUGUACAUUGUUAGACACAUGUAUUUCUUUCUUUUUUUUUAAUUUUUCAUCAGACCUAUCAAAUUGUAAUUUGAUGGUUAAUAAUUUUUUUCAUAUUGUGUCAAAAAAAAAAAAAAAAAAGAGAGGCUCCUCGAACAAGCCUCGCACCACUAGUCUAAGUUUGUAUGCGCAUGUGCUUAUGUACUGCACACUGAUAUACUAUGUUAUCAUUGUGUCAGAAAGGAAAGGCUCUGACUCCUCGACAUGCCCUAUACCAACUAGUCUAAAUUUUCAUAUGCAUGUGGCUCAUGUGCUACACUUUAGUGUAAUGCAGUAAAAUCAAGAAGAAAAAAAGUGAAAUAUGUUGUGUCUUUUCCGUGAGAAAUUCUAAAAUGCAUAAGAGAUAAAGAUUUUGCUAAGUUACUGCUGCUGUAACUUUCAAUUCCUUUAAUAAUCAGGGUCCAGCUACCAUGCCCCUCGGGGCAUGGUACUCGUUUUUUUUGUCAAUAUCCCGUGUAGCCGUUAGAUUAUAAAUAAUUUAAUCCAACGGAUGGGUUUGAAAGGGCUAAAAGUGAAUAACAGUGGGCUACCGUCGAAACCAGUUUCUUCCAGUUUGUUUGUUCGAAAUUAGUUUUAGGGUCUAUAAACCCUUAUUGGCCAUUUCGGGCGAUGACUGCAGUUUGUCGAACGCAAGGAAAUUGAAGUGCGCAAGGUGUAACUGCGGUUGGGGUAGCGCUUCCGUGUGCGAUUAUUGAAUUGGCUUGCAGUGCUUGCAACUUGUGGCGGCAGUAUUGAACGAGGCAGAAGGGAUUGGGUUAACACAAUUAAAGGUCAGUAUAAUUUGAAUUUCAGAUUAGAGAUAGGAAUCAUGUGUGGGUGAUAAAAGUGGAUGGUGGAAAUUUAACGUGUCGUUUGGACAAUUGGAAAUUUUGGGAGUAGAGGGCAAAAAAUGUAAAUUUAGAUUAAGGAUAUUUCCUGCACAUCGCGAUUGGUGGUUACGUUGAGAAAUUGAACCCAGUUGAAUUAAUGAAGUGUUGUGCAUAUAAAUGGUUCCAAAAUAUAUUUUGUACAACGAGUGAAAAAUUGAGGGGUUUCGGGCAAUAAAUAUAAAAAAUAAUUGGGGAUUAUUUAGCAGCAGUUUAAUGUGGCGUAUUUAAAGUAAUAGGAUGAAGAAGAAGGUUGGUGUUAUGUUGUGUAACUUGAUUGUGUUGCCGGCAAUUACUGUGCCUUUCUUGAACUUAGUCAUGACUAUGCAUUCGAAUAGAAUUUCAUAGAAGCACCAGACAUGUGACAUGUUAAUUAUCAAUUUCUACUGAAUUAUUAAGAUUUAGAUAAUAAAAGUUUUCAUUUGUAGCAUAGUAAAGGGAUUAAUUAAUUGAUUAGUAUUGUAUGGUUGUAAGUAUAAGCAAUGAGAACCCAAUGUAUGACAUUGAAUUCCACAGUAGCGUGGGUGUUAAUAAGUUAACAUUGAACAUGCGUGGACAAUUAGUAACAGGAAAAGUGAAAUUGAAGCAAAUAUUUAAAUGAUGUGAAUGAGAAGCAUGAAGCUGAUGACAUGGGGGUAAUGGUACAUGCACUAACUGAAUUUGUAUAUUGUUUUCGUGGAGUUGAUACGAAAUGUUUUUGUUAGUUUCGUUUGGGGCCGGUAAUGUAAAUGAUAUGUAUUUGUGUUAUGCAUUAGUAAGGUAUGUAUAUGUUGCUAUAAAACAUAUUUUGAUGGUUAGAAAUGGCAGUGUGACUGAAAUUCAGGAAUGAAGGUGGUGGGGACAAAUAAGCGUAAGGAAUGUGACAUUAACAGAGGGACUGAAGUGGUUGGUGUUGAUGCAAGCAAUGAUGGGGGAAGAAAAAGGCAGUGCCGCAAUGGGUUCAUAAGAUAUUUGUAAGCUAUGUUAAUGGAAAAAUAAAUAAAUGAACAUAGGACAGUAACAGUGGAGUGGUAAGUAUAGGUUUUGACUAAUUAUUUUGGUAUUGAUACGAUGAUAUUGCAGUGGUGAAGUUGUGCGUCAGAUUAAGGCAAAUGAUGGAAUGGCAUGCAUUACAAAAGAGGUUAGUAAAUUAGCAUUGUAGAAAUAAAGAAAUGGUAAUCGCCACCGGAUUAAUGUGUAGUGAGUUAAAUUGGGUUACCAUGAUUGUAUUGUAGAUUCGAAAAGAAAUAGGAUCCACGUAUAAGAAUUUGCCACCAGAGGAAAAGUGUCGGUAUAAAAGUGAGGCGAAACGAGUAGGGAAGUCAAAAAUUGGGAAGGCAAAGUUCCCCACCAGAUGUGCUCCAGAUAGAUUAGCUGCAGCAGUUUUACAACUUACAGAUGAACAAAGAGUAGUUGUUCGUGAAAUGGGCUUUGGUAGUUUGUUACAACUGAACUGUGGCAGGCUAAAGAGGAAUCUUUGUGGAUGGUUAGUUGAGAAGAUCGAUAUUGCGAGGUGCAUUUUACAGUUGAAUGGUGUUGAGGUGGAGCUAAGCCCGAAGAGUUUUAGUUAUGUAAUGGGCAUAUCAGAUGGGGGUAAGCCACUUCAGUUAGAAGGGGAGAGUUCUGAAGUAUGUGCAUAUGUAGACAAUUUUACCCCAACAUCAAGGGGUAUAAACAUAACGGUGUUGGCAGGAAUUUUGCAAAAGUUGAAGUCAGCGGAUGAUCAAUUCAAAGUGACAUUUAUGAUGUUUGCACUAUGUACUAUUUUAUGUCCCCCAGGAGGUGUGCAUAUAAGUUCUGGCUUUUUAUUUUCUUUAAAGGAUGUUGAAAGUAUUCCAAAAAGGAAUUGGGCGACGUUUUGCUUCCAUAGACUUAUUCAAGGGAUUACAAGACACAAGGAAGAACAGGUAGCGUACGUAGGAGGUUGUCUGCUAUAUCUACAGGUACUUUUUAAUUAUGGUAACAGUUGCAGCCAGUUCGCAACAUAUGAUAAUAUUAAUCAUGAAGUGUCGAAAGAUAUGUAAGUUAGGGUAGCAUAUUGAACAACUGUCAUGGUAGGCUGAAAAAAUCGAAAAAAAAUAGAUUAGAUGAAAUAGUUAGUGAAUACAUAUGAUCGAGGGCAGAAUUUAAUCCUCAUAUACAUAAAUGGACAUACAUGUGAGGAUUAAUGGUAAUUGAUCUGUAUAGAUCUGGACAGUUAUAGUAGUUUGGAAAUUAACUCGUUUGCAUUCAAACCGUAUGUAUUGUACCAUAAUCCCUGUAAGUGUUCGUUUGCAUGCAGAUGUUGUACUUCAACUCUAUUGUAUACGGAAAGCUGGAGAGGGAUAGGUCAAUGUGUCCGCUUGCUUUGUGGAAUGUAAACGAGAUAAAGAAGUUAAUGAAGUGGAUAGACAGCAAAGGAGGUUUUGAUAGCCAUCAGGUCAUAUAACUCGAAGCGAUAAGACAAUUGUUGGCUGUUUUUGCCAUUAACAUUUUGAAUAAUAAGUAUGAGUUGACGACCACUUGAUUGAGAAAACAAACAUCAUAUGCAUUAUAUAUCAUAUGAAAGUUGAUGAGGAUUAAAGGUUUAUAAAAUUAUCAGUGGUUGUCUUUUAGUUUUGCGAACCCCAUUUAUUAUGAGGUAAAAAAAUUUUUCGCAGGUGUCUAUCUCUUCCACGUCGAAAGAAGGCUGUCAAUUACAUUCACUCAGAAAAUUUCAGAAAGAAAAAUUUGGCAGUUUAAAUACGGAUGCAGCAAAUGAGACAUUUGUUAAGGUAGAUAAUGUGUCCAAUCUGGUUGAUGACGUAGCGGAGCUGGUGACCUUAUCUAGUAGGCUCGCAGGACAUGUAGAUAGGCUAAAGGCAGUUGGGUCGCGCACAAUGAAGGGAGGUGCUGAAAAAAUGAGGGAUUGUUCAGGGUAGAAUGUUAACCAGUUAUCAUAAUUGUCAUUAUUGUUUGUUAGCAUGCACAAUCACUUCUUCUACUUCUGUUAUGCUAUUUGUAAUCCUAAUAUAACUCUUUAUAUUUUAUAAGCACCUUCAUGCAAAAUUUAUCCCCACGGUUAAUGUUAUUCAACUAAUUGACUUACUCAAACUAUUUAUAUAUUACGUCAACUAUCCAGGUCUACAAAUUACAUUGAUCCAAAUAUAUUACACAUGAGGAAACCAAACGUGGUCACUGGAAAACUGCCAAUUCAGCAGUUAUUAGUUGAAGGCGAUGGUGGAAAUAAUACCCUGGAUGACAAUUAUCGUCGAUAUCCAGCAACACAAGUCAUGGCUGCAUCACCAGAAUAUUGCUCAUGCAAUGCACAUGAUGAUGCCAGAUUUGAGCAUGGCAAAUUAUCAAAAGAUCGAACCACUACCCUUAUAAAAAGGAGAAGGACAAUGAGACAACUUUUUACUGCUACACAAUCUCAAGGCCAUACUGGGACUACCAGUUUCACACCUAAUACAGGUCAAAGGUUUCAACCACAUGUUAAAUGUUGUGCUGCUUCCGACAAAGUAUACGAUGAUGGCCGAAAUGUUGUUCCUGACAUAGCUUAUGAUGAUUACGAGCUUGAAGGAUAUGCUUCAGAUACUGACAAGAUGACACUUUACAGUUCUCCACAAACUGAUGAAGGUGAUUUUACAGGGGAUGGAUUUUUAUUCGAAAAUGUGUCUAACAAGAUGAUCAUUCAAUUGGGUCAUCAUUUUAAGGACGUGUUCCAAUUUAGAAGAGCUGUUGAAGUUUUUGCAAUACGAGAAGGAUUUAAACUAUGCAUUAUGGAGAAUAGGAGUGAUUAUGUUAGUUGCGAGUGUUCUGCAUUAUACUGUGAUUGGAAAAUCACUGCAUCAGCUGAUUCAAGUGGUCGUACAUUUGCAGUAACCGAAUUCGUUAAUGCUCACAAGUGCAGCAGGUCUGCUACAGAGUUUUAUGACAAUCCAAAGUGGAUUGCCGCAAUGUUCUUUCAUACUUGGAAACAACAACCAAACCUUCAGCCGUAUGUCAUACAGAAACAAAUUGCAUCCAGAUACAAUGUGUCAUGCCCUCUUCCCAAACUACACGAAGCUUCAAAACGUGCAAAGGCAUUACUUGAUAUUGAUCACACGGAUGGAUAUUUAGAUAUAUAUCAGUACAUUGAGGAAAUGAAAAAGCUCCAUAACCGGAAUACAGUUAUUUUGGAGACUGAAAAUAAUGAAGCUGUUGGUGAUGCCACUUUCAACAGACUGUUUGUCUGCUUUGCUGAACCUGCUUAUGCAUUCAAGUAUGAAUGUUGCAAGAUGCUUUUUGUUGAUGGUUGGAAACUUAAAGGACCGUAUGAAAGUGUAAUGUUGGUGGCUGCAACUAUUGAUGGAAAUGAUGGCAUUCUCCCUAUAUCGUUCUGUGAGGUGCUUCAUGAGGACAUAGAUUCAUGGGUAUUUUUCUUGACCAAUCUUACAAAAGCUUUGAAAAUGGAACAUGGCGAAGGUCUCUGCAUUCUAACGGAUGGCGAAAAUGGUCUUGAUUAUGUCUGCGAAGAGUACCUCUUUCGCGGGGAGAUAAGACAUUGUUGCCGAAAUAUUUUCACCAAAAUGGUCAAAACUUUUCCGGAUGCACCUGUUCAACACUUAUUCUGGGCUGCUUGCCGUAGUGCUUCCAGUUACAAGUUCAACAACUACAUGAAAUUGAUAACGGAUGAAAGUGAAGAGUGUCAUGCUUGGUUAAUGGGUACAAAUUGGAACCAAUGGGCAUUGCAUUGCAUGCCUAACUGGGUUAAAAGUAACCACGUCACACUUAUGGUCACUGAACGUCUUCGCCGAUUCAUGAAAAGAUACUUGCACCUGAGCAUUACUCACAAGUUUACUGGAUUGACAAAUGCAACUGCUUAUCUUUUUGAGCAUCGAAGACUUCAAGGGUGGGAGUGGAUUUACCAGCGAAUUACCCCAACUGUCACAAACAUAAUUCAACAUCAUCUUAUUGAAGCCCGCUACCUGGCCGUGCAAAAUAAUAACGGCACUAUUUCAGGUGUUACGGAUGCUGCUUCUACUUUGUACGAGGUGGACAUGCAAAGAAAGCUUUGCAGUUGUGGCUUCUGGCAGAAGUCAGGUGUUCCAUGCGCACACGCAUGCAAGUGUAUUCUACAAAAGGCUGAAAAGAUCGAUGACUUUGUUGACAAAAUGCGGACAAUCUCUCAAUAUAGGGAUACUUAUGGACCGGGAAUGAAUUCACUGCCAAAUGAUUUUCCAUGGAAGUCCCAUGUUUCCACUGUUUUGCUCCUUCCUCCUCGUGCACAUGCCACAAUUGUACAGGACCCGCCUUACCCUAUUCCUCAUACAAAAUAGGUAAAAUUUCCAAGUUUCUUCUAAUAUAUAUUGUCCACACUAUGCAUUUAUUUCAAAUAUUUUUCUCAAAACAACCCUUUUGGUUUACUAUUUCACAUUGUUUAACCGUUUCAGAUCAGUCCUUAUUCGGCCACAACAGAACUUACUGGACAUGACUUCUUCCACCUACCAUCAAGCAGCAAUGAUGAAGAUUCAAUAAGUAAGUCUUUCUUUUUCUUUUUCAUAGUCUGAUACUAUGAAGUCCAAUUGUUAGGGAUAUCAAUCGACUUUACAAGUUCUUGAGCCAACUAUUGCCACAAUUUCAUUUUAAACAGAUAUGACUCAUAUCAUUGCAACCCAACUUUCAAGUGCGCACAAUAUUAUUUACCCUACAUUCAUUACUUGGAUAUUAUAAUAUUCAUCAUAUCCCACCUUAACAUUGGCAUUUGCACGCGCAUUGCUAACUAUAUACUAAAUAUAAUCACUGCAACCGACGAUAUUUCCUUUACUUCUCUGCAUCUUGUACUUAUUUUUAUGCAAUUUUCAGUACAUACCCCUACAUUUAUUUCACACAAUUUUCUCCAUCACAAGCCUUGCACACAAGCUUCAGCAAUUCUUAUUUCAUGUAAAUUCUACUUCUACUGUUUGUCUCCGCUAUUUGUAUUAAUACGUCCUAUGCAUGCAUAAGGCAAUAAUUUUAGGGUUUCACGGUAACCAAUUGUAUUUGUUGGUGUGACAGGGUAUUCGAUUGGUUGUUAAUCCUUACUUAUCUUCGGGUUCGGUUACUUGUGCGAAUCGUAUUUUUAAUUCGUUGUAACACCAUGACGUACAUAAUUUGUCUUCUCAUAUACAAUGAUUUAAUAUUUCACCUUCACGACAAAUCUCUUAGGGAUAUGAUAAAUCGUUCCACCACAUUACCUGCUCAUUAAUUGGUAACAUGCACUUCCUCCAUGAUUGCGGGUCUAUUAAUAUUUCAUUCACCCUAUGCAUUUCAACAUUCAAUUCCACGUGAAUUAUUUACAUAUGCAUGUACGAGCUCUUCCUUUGAUAUAAGUAAGUUAGUUGCAUUGUCAUUCAUACUUGACUUCUCAUUUAAAGGUUUCCUUUUCUCAUGUUGCAGCCCUGUAGCGGUGACUCUAGAGGGACAUGGCCUUUUGAUACCUAUGGUGUGCUGUGUCCUCCACAAUUGUCGCCAUCAAACGAACUCCACCAGCCACGAAACUUAUCCAUAUUUUGUCUGCUCCUAUAUUUAGUUAUUGCAAACUUUCAUCCACUAUAACUGUAUUUUGCUAUCAAUUAAUAGAUGUUAUUAACAUCCUACAACAUUGUGCAAGUUUCACGAUAAUGUGUUUCCAACUUAUGUACUUUACCUCUUAUGUCGACAUUGCAGCUUAUAUUUUGUUCUCCUCCUGCUAGCACCUGCAAUACAAUUAUUUUCUCCAUAUUUCAAAUUUGUUCCUUCUAUUUUCAAUAUCCCUGAUCCAUUUCUCCCUUUCCUUUGUGUUUGUGGCAUUAUUUUCUUUAUUUCAAUUAUGCUCACUUCUAGUUUUAAUCUUGCUCAACUUUGCUGUUAACUUACUGGCUUCAACUUGACCAUAUUGCUUCCAUUCUACCAUAGGUUAUUCUUUAAUCAAAUAAUCUAUUUUACUGAUGUUGGUCGUUUCCUCCUCUGCGUCUUAACUGACUACUCCAUUUUCUUCAUAGUUAUGUUUAUUUUUAAUUAAUUCAUUACUACUAUAAUUAACAUCAGUUAAUCUCAUUAUUUCUUCCUUGCUGUAGUCUUACUUUCACAUGGCUUCGGUCACAAUUGACAUUAUUAAAAAAGGGGUAAUUUUUUAAUCGUCUUUUUAUAUAUGCUUGCUACUACAAAUACUUCUUCCCUCAAACGAUUUUUUGUUAUAUACACCAACUUUUCUUCUUUCCUUUAACGCAUUUAUUGCAACAUUAAUAGUUCAUUUCAUCAUUUAUAUUGACUGCCUCUCCCGAUUUCUUUAAUCUGCUGCGUGCCAACUCCUUACACGUCCGAUUUUUCUCUUUUUCAUCCAACGGCUAGGUCACUACCUGACAAAGCAAGGGGGUUCCGUGCCCAAGGGGGUUCCGUGAUAAUCAUAUGGGUCCUACCACCUAUGACAACUAUUUACAUUAUUUUGAAAGGUUGUAAGUUACAGUAGUUGUAACUUAGUAGCACCCAAGACAUAAUAUAAUCAAUUAAUACAUAUAUGACAUGUGUAUUUAAAUUUUAUAUAACCACUAAUUACUUGUCGGUUCUUCAAAAUAAAUACACUUAAUUAUUUACUUAUUGCAUAGAUGAUAUGGUACUUUAGAGGUAUUCUAAAAUAUCUCUUAUGCCCUUCUGUUCAUUUUCAACUACUAGUCAAUGAAGUGGCAUUUUACAUGCUGAUAUGGUGCCUCGCAAAAACUCUUCUGUUUCGAGAUUGAUGAUCCCAUGGAAAUGGUACAAGUAUCUCUUCUAAUGGUAUUUUACAGGUUGUUGAUGAAAAGUUGCAUGUGUUUUAGAAGACUAAUGGUAUUUGCAUUUUACUUGCAAAUUCUAGUAAAAUCGGCUAUACAUGGAUUCUCUUUGGAUGAAUUUGGAUGAAAGCUCGUUUAAUUCCUCUAUUUUUAGGUUAGUAUCUUUUUAGUCACUAUAUAUUUAGAAAUACCUCAAAACAUCUCUAUUGUUAAAUUAUUGACACUCCUGCCGUUACUUUUUGUUCUUUUUAGCUUGCUUUUACAUAUUACUCUCUCGCAAUAAUGUUUAUUUUUUGGACAUUAAUAAAAAUAAAUAAAUUAUCAAUUUAAUCCCAAAAUAUUAAUGUAGAACAUUCUGCUGAGAAGUUAAUAUAUUUAUGUUUUUAUUAAUGUCCAAAAAAGUUUGUAAUUUAAUUUAUUUUACAAUAUUACUUUUUUUUACAUAUGUGAGCUUUUAGAAAAAUUAGUGUAUAUAUGUGUGUGUGUGUGUGUCAUUUUUAGGUUUAAAUUGAUAAUUUAUUUAUUUUUUAUUAAUGUCCAAAGAAAUUAUUGUAAAAGGGUAAUAUUAUAGAAGUUAAAAAGAAUAAAAAAUAAAAAGGCAGAUGUGUCAAUAGUUUAACUGGUAGUGUCGUUGAGGUGCACUAAAUUUAAAACCUUACCACUAAUAUAAAUAAUUAGUACAGAGCGAGUAAGGAUCGAUCCCACAGAGACUAUGCUAGUUGUAUUUAUUAUCAACUCUAAAGCAAGAUUUAAAAUAAAAUAAUAGUAGUAAUAAUAAUAGUAAUAAUAAUAUAAAUUAAUCUAACUAAAGAAAAUGCCAAUUAUAAAUAAAAGGGGGGAUUUAUGAAUUUUUAACUAAAUAGUAAGAAAUAAAAAAACUAAAAUUACGAACAAAAAUUUAAUAAAAACUCUAAUUAAAGGAGAAAGAAAUAAUAAUGAUAAAAACUUUAGUUAAAGGAUAAUUCGCCACCACCCAAGACAAGAAUAAACCAUGAACAUUAAUUAUAGAAGAACAUAAACAAUCUAAAUUAAAUAAAUUGAAUGAUAGAAAUUAAAAAUUAAUCAUGUGACAUAUUCGGGGUUUUGAAUUCACCCUCAACCAAAUAAAAAUCUAGCCUAACACAAUUGAAUUGGGAAUAAGAUAAUUGACAAAACCAAUCAUGGAGAUUAAUUCAAGCGACUGCCUUUGCUUUAAUUUAAUUCCGACUGCUGAUUUUUUUCUUCUCCUUGCGGCUGCUGAUUUUCCUCUGCCCGAAUUGCGUCUGCCCUCUUCUCUCUCGCUCUCUGGCAGCUCUCCUUUUAUAAUGCUAGUCGACCAAAUUCUUCUCCAACAAUUCUAAAGAAAUCAUUUUUCAAUUCUAAUUGAAAUCCUUUUCCAAUUUAACGCCACCAAAAGCCAUUAAUUCCAUCUUUUGAAAGUCAAUUGCGGGCCCAUUUAAAUUGCUUUCCACUUUUGCAAUGCCAUGCACGUGCACUCCAAUUGCCAAUUGGAAAAAUUAAAUCUUUUAAUUAUUCAACAUUUCUCAAUUGGAUUAAUUGCUUUGAUUUCUUCCACUCGGUUCUAUCAAUUCUUGACUAUAUUUUUGUCUUCCAAUUUAAUCUUUAUUCCUUUUCAAUUUGAAUUUCUUCAUGCUUUGAUUUCUUCCACUCGGUUCUAUCAAUUCUUGACUAUAUUUUUGUCUUCCAAUUUAAUCUUUAUUCCUUUUCAAUUUGAAUUUCUUCAUGCCUUUUUUAUCCACAAUCUCCAAUUAAUUCCCUAUUCAAUAAAAUCAACUAAAAGAACUAGAAUAUUUAAGAUCAAAACAAGAAAAAGAUGGAGAAAUUAAUAACAAAAUAUAUGGAAAAUAUGCACUUAUCAUUAAUUGCAUGGAGUUUUGAUGUAUUCUUAAAAAUAUAAGUUACUAACCUCAAAAUAUAGGGAUUAAAAGAGUUUUUACGUAUUCUUUUCAAUACACUCUGACUUGUAUUCUGUAUGUUUCUGUUCACUGUAGGACCAUUAUAAAGAAAUAUCAACAUCGUUGAUUAUUCUAAACACAUGGAUUGGCAGGUUAGAAUUCCCUCAUGAAAAAUAUGACUACUUUUUGCGUUCUGGUUUGGGUUCAUGGUUCCUUUUCUUCAUUCUUAAUUUUUAUGACUUCCACAAUAAAUUUCGCUAGUUGAAAUAAUAUUAAAUUGUACAACAUACACACACACACACAUAUGUAUAUUGCUUAUUACUUCGGAGUACUUAGGAUAUUUUCUUGUAUGGGUUGAUCUUAACAUAAUUCUAAAGUGUUUUUAGUUACUGCAAGAAAUUGAACGAAUUAAACUAAAAAAAUAAAAGAAAUAAAUAUUAUGUAGUUUUCAUUUUGAGAUAUAUUAUAAUGAAAGGAUCAUCUACUUGUGUUAGCUUUGUUUAGUUUUAAAAAUCUCAUGUCACUUAAAGUCAUGUAUAUUAUUAGCCAUUUAUACUUUCUCUUGUUUUUAUAUUCAUAAUAAUCCUCCAAAUGCACAUUAUUGUAUUUGUCAACAUGCUUCAAGAAAAUAAGGUCAAGGCAACAUGAUUAUAACAACGUGUUAGAGUGUUCUAUUUGCAACAUGAUUAUAACAACGUGCUAGAGUGUUCUAUUUAUUUAAUGUCAAGAAAAGUAGCUGCUAAAUUCUAGAAGCAGCCCAUUUUGGACAAAGAAAAAUCAAAGAGGGCUGCAGCAUCUUUGAAGAAGUAAAAUUGGCGGCACACGGUUUUGACGUUGAAGAAGCCAAAAUGUAAGAAAAAUGGUGGUGUUGUAGCAAAUUUUGACAAGAAAAAUAAAUAAAAUAAUAGCCAAUUUUGGCUAUAAAAAGAGAGCUCCCCAUUUGGUUUUGGCAUCUAAUUUCUUUAUCUCAUUUUCUUCUUCCUUAUAGAGAGCUAAGAAUUGAGAGUAUAGAGUUUUAAUAACUCAUGUGUUUUAAUAACUCUUGUGUUAGUAGUGAUUUGAGAGUUUGAGUUUAUUGGUGUUUGGGUAGUGAGUUAAAAUAUUACAAUACUUGUAAUUGCUUUUCACUAGUAAAAUAUUUUCCUUCUAUUUUCGCCCGUGGACGUGGGCUAAAACUGAACCACAUAAUUUUUUGUGUCCUCUGUGUGUGUUUGUUCUUCAUUUUCCUCCAAUUUCAUUUUAGUUGUGCCCCUGCUUCAACCAUAGAUUUUCUAACACUAAUAUCAAAGCUACUGGUUGUAUUUUUAGAGUCGCAGUAUUAUUUCACAUAUAUAGUAUUCUCGUGAAAUGGUGGGAGCCAAUCCUAACUAAAGUAGUUCAUUGUAAAAAGUGAUGACGGUAAAAUACGAAAUUAAGAAGUUCAGCGAAAAUAAUUUCUCGUUGUAGAAAAUGAAGAUGAAGGUUGUAUUGAGGAAAACUAAUUACUUGGCAGCAAUUAGAGAAAGACCCACGAAUAUAACUGAUGACAAGUGGAAUGAGAUGGACGGCAAUGUAAUUGCUUAUCUACACCUGGCACUUGCAGAUGGGAUGUUAUCUAGUAUGGCAGAGAAAAAGAUAGCUAAGGAAAGAUGGGAUACUCUUACAAAAUUGUACGAGGUCAAGUCACUGCACAACAUGAUCUUCUUAAAGUAGAGAUUUUAUCCUCUUCGAGUAGCGGAAUCUACAUCGGUGACCAACCAUAUCAACACAUUGAAGACUCUAUUUUCACAUAUCAACUCAUCAUUAAUCUGACAAACAACAACCAAGCAGACAGUCUAGCUUUCGAUGAUGUUGCAACCUCCAUAUUAAAUGAGAGCAGGCGGAAAAAUAAGGAAGAUAGGCAAGCAAGUUCGCAACAAGCAGAAGUACUAUCGGUGACAAGAGAGAGACCAACGGAACGUGGUCCCAAUGGGAGUUACAAUCAUGGUAGAUCAAAAUCAAGAAGUAAGAAUAAUGUCAAAUGCUACAAUUGUGGUAAGAAAGGGCAUGUCAAAAAAGAUUAUUGGAACAACCAGAAGAGAUGAGAGGGUAUAGUUCUUGUAUCAUCAAAUGCUCAGGGAUGUGUAGUAAGUACCUUAAAUGAUGGCGAAAUUCUCUACAGCAAGGCAACAACUAUUUCAAAAGACAGAAAACAACUAUAUAAUGUCUGGCUUAUAGAAUUGGGAGCUACCUAACAUAUGAACUCUUGGAGAGAGUUGUUCCACUGUUAAAAUAAAAAUGUUUGAUGGUACAGUUCGCGCAAUUAAGGAUGUACGACACGUCAAUGGCCUAAAUCAAAAUCUAUUAUCCUUAGUACAAAUAGAUAGUCAUGGGUACAAAACUCAUGUGGAAAAUAUGAUCAUGAAGAUAGUUAAGGGCGCACUUGUAUUAAUGAAGGCAGAAAUGAUUGGUGUUAAUUUAUUCAUGCUUAAAGGAAAAACACUACAGAAAGUUGAUGCGUGUGUCGCAUCAAAUGGAGAAGAGUGACGAUGAUGUGACAUUUCAAGCCUAGCCAAAUGUCAGAAUAAGGUUUGAAGAUUUUCUCUGAGCAAAAAUUGCUUCCAGGUCUCAAAUUGGUAAACUUACCAUUUUGGGAGCAUUGUGUUAGAAAUAAGCAGCAUAAAUUGAAGUUAAGCAGAUCUGUUGCUAGAAGUAAAUGUAUUCUAGACUUGGUUCAUUAUGAUAUUUAGGAAUCACCAGAUAUGUCCAUGGGAGGUGCAAAGUACUUGUUGACUUUUAUUGAUGAUUAUUUCAAGAGAUGUUGGGUGUAUGUAAUCAAGAAAACAUCAGAUGUGUUUCUGGUAUUCAAAUGGUACAAAGCGCUGGUAGAACUUGAAUUCAAAAAGAGGAUAAAGUGCUUGAUGACAAAUAACGGUGGAGCGUAUACAAAUGACAAGUUUAUUGCAUAAAAUAAGCAAAAAGAUUUUCAGAAGCAGUUCACAGUGGCAUACACUUCCCAACAUAAUAGUGGCAGAGCGGAUGAACAAACUUUUAUAGAAAUAAUAAGAGAUAUGUUGAGGACUGUUGGUCUACCCAACUUAUUUUGGGCAGAAGCAGCCAAAACUGUUUGUUAUAUAGUAAAUUGGUCGACAUCCACAGCAAUUAGGUUAAAGACAUUGAUGGAGAUGUGGACAAGAAAGCUAGUUGAUUACUCUCACCUACAUAUAUUUGAAUGUCCUGUGUACGUGAUGUACAAUGCCCAAGAAAAAAUAAAGUUGGAUCUAAAAUUUAUAUGGUGUAUCUUCUUGGGGUAUGCUAAUGGAGUAAAUUGUAUUAUCUGUAGGACCCCACUGCCCACAAGAUAGUCAUCAGCAGAGAUGUUAUCUUUAUAGAUGAUCAACUACAAAGAGAGAUAAGGAUGAUAGCACUGUAAAAGAAAAGUCAAAGACUGUGCUGGUAUAUGUUGAAAAUAAUCUGGAAAAAAAGAUUCAGAUUCUUCUGAAGCAACACCAAAGCACGAUAAACAAUAACCAGUUGAGUCCGAGGCUCGAGAAGUUCGUUAGUUAACUCGUGAGAGACGAUCGCCAAUGUGGCACUUAAAUUAUGUCACAAAGAUCAAUGUUGCAUGCCGUCUUCUGAUAGAGGAUAGAGAACCAUAAACUUUCUAUGAAACUUUAAGUAACUCAGAUUUUGCUUUGUGGAUGACAGUAAUGGAGGAAGAAAUUGAGGCUCUACACAAGAAUAAAACAUGGCAACUUGUACUACUACCAUUUGGAACAAAAACCAUUGGAAAUAAAUGGGUCUACAAGGUCAAGCGUGAUGACAAUGAAUAAAUGGAGCGGUAUUGUAAAAGAUUGGUCGUAAAAGAAAAUGCUCAUAAAGAAGGAAUUGACUUCAACGAGAUAUUUUCUCCGGUGGUUCAACUCACAACAGUCAGAUUAAUCUUGGUGAUGUGUGCUACAUUUGACCUAUAUCUAAAGCAGUUAGAUGUGAAAACUGCAUUUCUUCAUGGAGAACUUGAAAAAGAAAUUUAUAUGCUCCAACCCGAAGGUUUUGCUGAAAAGGGCGAAGAGAACUUGGUUUUCAGGUUGAAAAUUUUUCUAUACGGUCUCAAACAAGUGCCAAGGUGUUGGUAUAAGAGAUUUAAUUCCUUUAUCAUGAGCUUGGAUACAACAGACUUAGUUCAAACCAUUGUGCAUAUUACAAGAGGUUUGAAGAUAAUGAUUUCAUCAUUUUGCUAUUGUACGUAGAUGACAUGUUGGUAACAGGCCCCAACAAAGAUCAAGUCUAAGAAUUAAAAGCACAGUUGGCUAGGGAGUUUGAAAUGAAGGACCAGCAAAUAAGAUUCUAGGGAUGCAAAUUUACCGAGACAGAAAUAAUAAGAAGAUUUGGCUUUCUCAGAAGAAUUACUUGAGAAAAUCUUGCGGCACUUCAACAUACAAGAUUGUAAGCCAAUUUAUACCCCACUUCCUAUUACUUUCAAGUUAUCCUCAAAUAUAUGUCCAAGCAAUGAAGCAGAGAGUAAGGAAAUGUCUCGAGUACCAUAUGCAUCAGCAAUGGAAAGUUUAAUGUUCGCUAUGAUAUGUACAAGAAUGGACAUUGCACAAGCAAUAAAAGUAGUUAGUCGACACAUGGAGAAUGCUAGUGGAGAACAUUGGAAAAUUAUGAAGAGGAUUUUGAGAUAUAUCAGAGGAACCUCAGAUGUUGCAUUAUGUUACGGAGGAUCAGAGUUUAUUGUCAGGGGCUAAAUGAAUUCAGAUUUUACAAAAGACCUUGAUAAAAGGAAAUCCACUACUGGCUAUGUGUUUACACUUGCAGAAGGAGCUAUAAGUUGGGUUUCAAAACUACAGACCGUUGCGGUUUUAUCUACAACAGAAGUAGAAUACAUGGCAGCUACACAAGCUUGCAAGGAAACUAUUUGGAUACAAAGAUUAUUGGAGGAGCUCGGACACAAAUAAGAAAUUUUUUUUGUAUUUUGUGACAGUUAGAGUGCCUUGCAAAUUGCAAGAAAUCCAGCCUUUCAUUUCAGGACAAAGCACAAGGGGUACAAUACCACUUUGUUCGAUAAGUAGUGGAAGAUGAAAGUGUGGAUUUGCAGAAAAUUCAUACUAAAGAGAACCUAGCAGAUGUUUUACCAAGCCAAUCAAUGUUGACAAGUUUGUAUGGAGUAGAUUCGCUUGUGACCUAGCAGAGACAUAAGCAAUAUGACAAUUGAAGUGGGAGAAUGUCAAGAAAAUUAGCUGCCAAAUUUUAGAAGCAGCUCAUUUUGAACAAAGAAAAAUCAAAGAGGGCUGCAACAUCUUUGAAGAAGUACAAUUGGUGGCACACGACUUUGACAUUGAAGAAGCUGAAAUGUAAGAAAAAUGGUAGUGCUGCAGAAAAUUUUGAGAAGAAAAAUAAAUAAAUCUUGUGUUAUUAGUGAUUUGAGAGUUUGGGGGUAUUGAGGUUUUGGGUAGUGAGUUAAAAUACCACAAUACUUGUAAUUUAUUUUCACUAGUAAAAUAUUUUUCUUCUGUCUUCGUCCAUCGAUGUAGGCUAAAAACCGAACCAUGUAAUUUUUUGUGUCCUCUAUGUGUGGUUGCUCUUUAUUUUAUUCCAAUUCAUUUUAGCUGUAGUCCUGCUUCAGCCAUCGAUUUUCUAACAUUUCAUUCAUUCAAUCUGUAAAAAUCAUUUCCAUAAAAAUCUAAUCCAUGGAUUGAUGGAUUUGAUUAGAUUAAAAUUUUUUUAAAAUCCACAGUCAAUGAAUUAGAAAUAGAUUUGCUUCUACAAAUUUAUAAAAAUCAGCAAAUUAUAUAUAUAUAUAAAAUUUAAAAAUGUUAUACUAUUAAUAAAUAAAUAGGUUAAAAUUUAGUUAGGGUGGACAUUGACAACAAUUAAUUAUGUAAGCUUUCAAUUUUCAACUUUGGUAUUGAUUUAAUUUUAAAAUUUAAGUUAGUUUUCAUUCAUUGAUCUAAAACAUCAAGAUUUUUUCUUUUGGUGGGCUAAAGUUCGAAACUUUGAAUGGCAUCCUUAAAAAACAAAUGGUUUUUCAGAAGUGGUCGUGACGUGUCAUCACGUCCCAUCUAUCCUACACGGAAGUUGAAACCAAUUACUCCAGCGUUUUCAUAAUUUUUUUAAAGAAAGAAUAGGGAGUAAAGAUGAAAUGGUAUAUGGCUUCAAAAUUAUGCUUCUUUAGGAACGUACGUUGAUUGAUUUAACAGAUGCUGGGUGAUAUAUCGCGUUCCUAAACAAGUACUUAAACUAUUGAUUUAUUUAAUCUUUUUAAAUUUGAAUUUGAUUGGUAAUAAAAUUAUUUUUGUAUUAAAAUAUUUAUUUAAUUAUUUUAUAAAUAGAUAGAAAGAAAUUUUUUUUAAUUGAUAUCGAAUUCACAAAAGUGCAAUGGGAUAUAAAUUAUGUCAAAUCCACAUCAAAUUCUUAGAGUUAUGAAUUAAAUUUGGAUUAAUUUCAUUAAUUCAUGAAUUGGGUGAGAUUGAAAAUUUAUAACGAUUUUACACCUAUUGUCAUUUAUUAGAAUUUUUUCACAACGCGCUUUUGUAGGACGUUGUGAAAUUGAAAGCCCAUUGAAGAGUUUAUAACAACAUUCUUUCGUUUGUUGUCAAAUAUUAAAAUUAUUUUACAACACACUUUCACCAACCGUUGUUAAAUGGAAGUUUUCUGAAAUUUGUACAAAUUAUCACAAUCUACCGAUACAUUAAAAUCCAUUAUCUAUUUAGACAGUAGAUACAUACAUUUGUACUAUAUAGCCCGGAAAUCUGCUCCCACUAACUUUUGAGUUGACAUCUACCUGCCCAGUCUACUUUUUGUUGAUAAUCAUUUUGUAAUUUAUUAAUUUGUUUUCCGCAAAAGUACUUUAUAACUGUAACAAAUAGAAUUUCGAUGUUAGUCCUCAACAUUAAGAUAUUGUUUGCAACUUUGUAUGCCUUUUUUUCCUUAAACUUAGUUUGUAUAUUCUUAUUUCUCCAUAAAACAAGAUUUUAAUGUAAUAAAUAGAACUUUUAUUAGUAGAAUUGAAUUUAUGAAUUUCUUGUUAUUUCUGCGUGCAUUUAUUGUGUAGUUUAUAGAAAGACUCUUUAAAAAAUUUGUAUGCAGGAAAAAAAAAGAUAAAUAAAAAAAGAUUAUACAACAUUCAUCCGAAUGUAUGGAUGAUGUAUGUGUCUUCUGGUUCAAUAUUGACCUCGUUCGCACAGUAUGAUGUACGCCCCCCCACCCAAAAAAAAAAGAAUAAAAUAUCUUUGUACUAUUAAGACUUAAAAAUUAAACGCUUUCAAAACUCAGAAAAAAUGAGUAAGAAAAAUCAAUCACAUGAGCUUCUUCUCUGCCUAUAAUAACCUCGUGUAUCACCACAAACCACAGAAUAAUUUGAGAAUCUUUGCCAAGUAUAACUGUAAGCUAGCUUACACUACAUCUGUAUAUCCAAUGUCUUCUUGCAUUAAUCCCUCAACCUUGGUUACCUCUAUAAAUGGUUUCAAAUGUCUUCCUCUUGCAACAAAUAAAGCAGCCAUCAGAAUCAUGGCCAAAAAUAAGCCAGUCCAAUGCCUUGUCAGCGCCAAAUAUGAUAAUUUGACAGUUGAUAGGAGAUCAGCAAACUACCAACCUUCAAUUUGGGACCAUGAUUUUUUGCAGUCAUUGAAUAGCAACUAUACGGUAUUCAGUAUUAUUAUUAUUAUUAUUAUUAAUUUCCUUUGUUCAUUUCAAAUUGGCACCAUGAAUAACUAAAAACUAAAUGCUGUGCAUGUACAGGAUCAAACAUACAGAAGACGAGCAGAAGAGCUGAAGGGAAAAGUGAAGACAGCGAUUAAGGAUGUAACCGAGCCUCUGGAUCAGUUGGAGCUGAUUGAUAAUUUGCAAAGACUUGGAUUGGCUUAUCAUUUUGAGCCUGAGAUUCGGAACAUAUUGCGUAAUAUCCACAACCAUAAUAAAGAUUAUAAUUGGAGAAAAGAAAAUCUGUAUGCAACCUCCCUUGAAUUCAGACUACUUAGACAACAUGGCUAUCCUGUUUCUCAAGGUACCUUUCAUUAGUUCGCUUACUUUGUCAUGCACAUGCAAGAUCCGAAUACUUGAAUCGAUCUCUCUGUUUAUCUUAUUCAUUCCUUUUAAAUGUAAAAAAGUGGACAAAACCCAAAUCAAUUUUUUAACUCUCUAUCUCCUGAGAAAUUCGAACUCGACAAGGCCGCUGGGGACACUUAAAUCAUUCUCUAAUUAACAUAUAUGUGCAAAAGUUUUGAUGAAUAUAAUUUUUUUUUUUCGGUUGAGCACUGCAGAGGUUUUCAGUGGUUUUAAAGACGACAAGGGAGGCUUCAUUUGUGAUGAUUUCAAGGGAAUACUGAGCUUGCAUGAAGCCUCGUAUUACAGCUUAGAAGGAGAAAGCAUCAUGGAGGAGGCCUGGCAAUUCACCAGUAAGCAUCUUAAAGAAANNNNNNNNNNNNNNNNNNNNNNNNNNNNNNNNNNNNNNNNNNNNNNNNNNNNNNNNNNNNNNNNNNNNNNNNNNNNNNNNNNNNNNNNNNNNNNNNNNNNNNNNNNNNNNNNNNNNNNNNNNNNNNNNNNNNNNNNNNNNNNNNNNNNNNNNNNNNNNNNNNNNNNNNNNNNNNNNNNNNNNNNNNNNNNNNNNNNNNNNNNNNNNNNNNNNNNNNNNNNNNNNNNNNNNNNNNNNNNNNNNNNNNNNNNNNNNNNNNNNNNNNNNNNNNNNNNNNNNNNNNNNNNNNNNNNNNNNNNNNNNNNNNNNNNNNNNNNNNNNNNNNNNNNNNNNNNNNNNNNNNNNNNNNNNNNNNNNNNNNNNNNNNNNNNNNNNNNNNNNNNNNNNNNNNNNNNNNNNNNNNNNNNNNNNNNNNNNNNNNNNNNNNNNNNNNNNNNNNNNNNNNNNNNNNNNNNNNNNNNNNNNNNNNNNNNNNNNNNNNNNNNNNNNNNNNNNNNNNNNNNNNNNNNNNNNNNNNNNNNNNNNNNNNNNNNNNNNNNNNNNNNNNNNNNNNNNNNNNNNNNNNNNNNNNNNNNNNNNNNNNNNNNNNNNNNNNNNNNNNNNNNNNNNNNNNNNNNNNNNNNNNNNNNNNNNNNNNNNNNAAGAUUAUAAUUGGAGAAAAGAAAAUCUGUAUGCAACCUCCCUUGAAUUCAGACUACUUAGACAACAUGGCUAUCCUGUUUCUCAAGGUACAUUUCAUUAAUUCGCUUCCUUCUUCAUGCACAUGCAUGAUCUGAAUACUUGAAUCGAUCUCUUUGUUUUUUUUUUAUUAUUUAAAUGUAAAGAAAUGGACGAAACCCAAAUCAGUUUUAUAUCUCUCUAUCUCCUGAGAAUUCGAACUCGACAAGGGCGCCGCUAGGGAUACUUCAAUCGUUCUCUAAUUAACAUAUAUGUGCAAAAGUUUUGAUGAAUAUAAUUUUUUUUUUUCGGUUGAGCACUGCAGAGGUUUUCAGUGGUUUUAAAGACGACAAGGGAGGCUUCAUUUGUGAUGAUUUCAAGGGAAUACUGAGCUUGCAUGAAGCCUCGUAUUACAGCUUAGAAGGAGAAAGCAUCAUGGAGGAGGCCUGGCAAUUCACCAGUAAGCAUCUUAAAGAAACGAUGAUCAUCAGCAACAGCAAGGAAGAGUAUGUAUUUGUAGCAGAACAAGCGAAGCGUGCGCUGGAGCUCCCUCUGCAUUGGAAAGUGCCUAUGUUAGAGGCAAGGUGGUUCAUACACGUUUAUGAGAAAAGAGAGGACAAGAACCACCUUUUACUUGAGCUCGCUAAGUUGGAGUUUAACACUUUGCAGGCAAUUUACCAGGAAGAACUUAAAGACAUUUCAGGGUAUCUAUGCCUUGAUUGCAUAACUCAUAUAUAUUCCAAAGAUUUGAUUUUAUCGAAUAGAUAACUUGUACUAUUUAAUCAUAUGUAUAUUAAAUUAUUCUCAAGUGCAGACUCCGCCUUUUACAACAGUAUAAAGGCGCCAGCCUACACUUUAUAUAAUUGUAUAUUAAAUUAUGCCAAACGUUUGCAUUAAAGAAUCUCGAACUAGAAGAUGACUCUAUAUGUAAAUGCAUUGUAAAGCCACAAGUCAUGUGCUUUAUAAAAAGAGAUGCUUGUAUCAGAGAAAUAUUCUUCAGAAUUCCAGACAGAAAGCUGAUUCUAUAUAUACAGAUAUAUAAAACAUUUGUCGUAAUAUUCGUUUUAAUUUUCCUAUGAAGGUGGUGGAAGGAUACAGCCCUUGGAGAGAAAUUGAGCUUUGCGAGGAACAGGUUGGUAGCGUCCUUCUUAUGGAGCAUGGGGAUCGCGUUUGAGCCUCAAUUCGCCUACUGCAGGAGAGUGCUCACAAUCUCGAUAGCCCUAAUUACAGUGAUUGAUGACAUUUAUGAUGUCUAUGGAACAUUGGAUGAACUUGAGAUAUUCACUGAUGCUGUUGCGAGGUUUGUUGGCAAAUUAACAAUUCAACUGCUACUUAGCUGCAUGGUACUUCUCAAUUUAAUAGACCGUUUAUGUGAUUUUUUUUUUUUUUCUGCAGGUGGGACAUCAAUUAUGCUUUGAAGCACCUUCCGGGAUAUAUGAAAAUGUGUUUUCUUGCGCUUUACAACUUUGUUAAUGAAUUUGCUUAUUACGUUCUCAAACAACAGGAUUUUGAUAUGCUUCUGAGCAUAAAAAAUGCAGUACGUGAAAUAUUAAUUUGACCUCUCUCCCUGUUCCUUUCCUCUGAUUUAUCCUUUUUAAAUUACGAUGUUCUUUUUUUCUCAAAAAUUAUAAACCGUAACUAGUUGUAUAUUUUCUGUGCCAUGUGCAUCAGUGGCUUGGCUUAAUACAAGCCUACUUGGUGGAGGCGAAAUGGUACCAUAGCAAGUACACACCGAAACUGGAAGAAUACUUGGAAAAUGGAUUGGUGUCAAUAACGGGCCCUUUAAUUAUAGCGAUUUCAUAUCUUUCUGGUACAAAUCCAAUCAUUAAGAAGGAACUGGAAUUUCUAGAAAGUAAUCCAGAUAUAGUUCACUGGUCAUCCAAGAUUUUCCGUCUGCAAGAUGAUUUGGGAACUUCAUCGGUAUGUCUUUUUUUAUUUAUUUUUUUUAAGACGACAGAAAUUGAAUUGAUCCUCUAUAUAUGAAUUGAUUGUAUUUUUUUUUUCCCCGAUAAUCAUCAGGACGAGAUACAGAGAGGGGAUGUACCGAAAUCAAUCCAGUGUUACAUGCAUGAAACUGGUGCCUCGGAGGAAGUUGCUCGUGAACACAUCAAGGAUAUGAUGAGACAGAUGUGGAAGAAGGUGAAUGCAUACACAGCGGAUAAAGACUCUCCCUUGACUCGAACAACUACUGAGUUCCUCUUGAAUCUUGUGAGAAUGUCCCAUUUUAUGUAUCUACAUGGAGAUGGGCAUGGUGUUCAAAACCAAGAGACUAUCGAUGUCGGUUUUACAUUGCUUUUUCAGCCCAUUCCCUUGGAGGACAAAGACAUGGCUUUCACAGCAUCUCCUGGCACCAAAGGCUGAUGAUGAAUUAUAAUGCACGAUGCGUUGCGAAUUCCCAGAGAGUGCAGUUUCAGUUGAUGUUGGCCUCCGCUUUUCUUUCUUCUGAGGGAUCUCUUUUCGAUAAUAAAAUAAAUUCCCUCAUUCAUCAAGGUUUAUAAAUGAAAAAGAAAUGAUAUAUACAUAUAUGUUACUUUUAUUGAGAAUAAAAGUCUUCAGGAUAUGCAAAUACUUAAGUCAGGCUCAUUCUAAUUCCUACAAGAUAAUUAUUUGCUAGCUAAAACAUGAGAACGACUGAAUUUGUUCUGCAUGCAGUUAUACUUGAUUAUUCAAGGAUGGUUCAUAGCAUUUUUAGCACAAGGGAUACUUUCAGUAUCCAUGCAUACGGCAAAUCAUACUCAUGAAAAAUGGCAAUGUGCAGCUAACAGUGACAAACGCAAUCCGCAGUCUGUUAAAUGAGGAUAGAAAUAAGAGCGGUGGCAUUUAAAGAAAAAAGUUACAAGAAUCAAAAAGUAAAAAUAACCAAUUAAAAAAAAAUGAGUUCCUAAUGUGAGGAAAGAUUGAAAUGGAGAAAAACCCUAAUCCACCUAUGGCUGACGACCGUUCCACAAAGAAAGCAGAUUUAAGGCUCAAGGGGAAGAUGGUGACAAUCCUCAGCCUCCUUCCUUUCGUGAUAAACUGAUGUCAACACAAAGGGUGGAUGAAGGAGUGUUUUUUGAUAGCGGGGAAUAUUUGGCAGUUGAACCGGAAGAUGUGGUUUUUGAGUGUGCAGACAAUUUUCACUCCAUUUCUUUCUCACAGAAAAGUACAUGCUCAACUAAUGAAACCAUGGCAAUACACGGUGGUGGUCAAGCUUUUGGGUCGUCGCAUAGGUUACCGGACGCUGUGCAACCGCUUGGAAACCAUCUGGAGCUCGACCCAAGGGUUUUCUGUAAUUGACCUUGAGAAUGAUUAUUAUCUUGUUCGUUUCAGAACAGAGAGGGAUGUGGAGUUCGCUUUGACGCAAGGCCCUUAGGCUCCGUUUGGUACAACUUAUUAAAUAGAGCUUAUAACAGUAGAGUUUAUAGCAGUAGAGCUUAUACCAAUAGAGCUUUUGGACAAAAAGUCAUUGGGUGUUUGGUUGUCAAUAAAAAAAGUACUUUUGAAUCAUUAAAUUGUGUGAUAUUUUUUAUAUUAUAUAAUUUGUGGAAAAGCUCCCUAACUUCUACUCCCAAAAUCUCAAAUUUUGGGCUUUUGCUAGUAGAGGUAAAUUAGCUUAUUUAAGCUAAAAAAACUCUACUAAAAAAAUAACCAAACACCAUAAAAAUUUUAAAAAAGUGCUUAUGCGAUUAAAUAAGCACUUAUGCCUCUUAAAUAAGCCAUACCAAAUAGGCACUUAGACUAUUCUGGGGCACUAUCUAACAGUGAAGCCAUGGACUCCCCAUUUUGAUAUUUCGGCAGCAGUGAUUGAAUAUGUUAUAGCCUGGAUCUGCUUACCAGGCAUGGCCCUACAUUACUACAAUAAGAAAAUUCUCCGAAUGUUGGGACAAAUUUUCGGGAGAGUUUUUAAAACUGAUUACAACACUGAAUCCGCAUCCAGAGACAAAUUUGGUCGUCUUGCUGUUGAAAUUGAUCCAAACAAGCCCUUAAUUUCUCAAUUUUUUCUGGAUGGCAAGCUACAAAAGGUGGAAUAUGAAGGACUCCCUAAUACUUCCUUCCUAUGUGGUAAAUAUGGCCAUAGCAAGGACAUCUGCCCUAAUCGAACGGAAGAAGAUCAUGCCUUAGGAUUCCAGCCACAUUUGGACGGAGCUAAUGAAUCUGUUGAAAUGAACUCAAACUUGGUAAACGAUUUGUCGUUUAGAGGUUUAAAAAGUCAAGUGACAUGUUGUUUCAAUUGGUCAUGGAUCCAGAACCGACAACUUCGUGCUGUCGUCCAAGAUCAUUAAACUCUCACGUGAUUAACAUAAACUUGUUUUAAAGCUUAAACGACAUGCCUUAUCGUCGUUUAAGGCAGGCUUUAAGUUGCUUGUGGUCAAGAAGUUAAGUUUGUUAGUUUUGGAGGGAAUCUUUUGGAUCUGUAACGCCAGUAGCAGCUGAUAUAUAUGUUGGUUAUGAUUUCAUCUAGAUCUAUCGAAUUGAGAGUGAUAAGGAAGCCUUAGAGAGAGUGGAACUUUUCUGAGUGUUCUCUAUAUUGGGCUUAUCAUCUCUGUAACCUUUGAAGCUUAAUAAAGUGGCUCCCUGAGUUUAUUUUCCCCGAUGAAUGUAGGCAAUGUAACAAGUGCUGAAUCACUUAAAUUGUUUUGUGUUUUUGAUUCUUUGUGUUGUUAUUCUUUGAUCUGGUGAGUGUUACGACUUGUGUUGAUUUGUUUCUUAAUCUUGGAGUCCUAACUAGAUCUAGGGGGCAAGAUCAAUUCGAUAUCAAAGGGUUUGUUUCACAACAGAAUCAUCGGUGCAGGACGUCAGGGAGGGAUAUGGGAAUUUGCCUAGGUUUGGUGGAACACCCUAAAAAUUACCCAUGAAAACACAAGGGUAAAAUUGGAAUGAAACCUCAUAUCAUUUAUUUUUAUUAAUAAAUCUCAAGAUAGACAAUCAUUAUUCAUACUCCAACUGAAUCCUUAUAUAAAACAUCUGAAAUAAAGUCUCCAAAGAAAAAUCUCUAAUCCAAAAUAAAAAGUUCAGCCAAAUUUAAUCUUUAAAGCAACUCUAAAGAUCCACUAAGAAAAAUUCUUCAUCUAAGCACCUAAGCCACAUUUCUAAUCAAAUCUGCAAAAUAUUGGAGAUGAGGAGUGAGCUGUCAACUCGGUAAGCAAAUCCAUGCACAAUAUUUGAAAACCUUUGUCAUAUAUCUUUAAACAUUUUAUAACAACAUCUUCAUUUAGCAUAAGAGGUGGAUUCAUGUAAAAGUAUUAAAAACAUUAAAACAUUCAUAAAAAAGAUUAAAACAUAAAUAUUUGGUAGCUUAUGCCUCGUAGUCAUCAUCAUUCAUCAUUCAUCAUUCGUCAGUUAGGGUGUUAUACCCCGUAUUGUUCCUCAUUCAGGGUACUAUACCCCGCAUUGUUCAUAAUAUCCUUGUGCACAAGAUCAUCACCAUACCAGCAAGCUGGCCAUAACAUUACAUAACAUCAUAACAUUUGUAUUGUAUACAUUACUACGGACUAUGAGCUAAAACAUUUUUUAAUCCACCUUACAUCCUUUCAUAAAUAGCAUUUAAAGUCUUCUAAAACAUUUAAGAACCUUUCUUUGAUCAUUUAAUUCUUUUAGAAAAUUCUUUAAGAAAACAUUUUGUUUAAGAAAACUAAUUUCUUAAGAAAAAUUUAUUUUAAAACACAUUUUUAUAAAUUCAUUUAAAAGUGUUUUUAUUUUACAAAAUUCAUUUAAAUAUUUUAGAAAUCAAUUUUUCUAAAAAUCUCCAUUUAAACAUAAUUCUUAUAACAUAAAUUGCAUUUAUUAUAAAGCACAUCAUGCGUGAAUCUACUUACCUCAAUCCGCAGCAAUCAACCCAAUACCUUAAGAACAAACCAACGAGCUCACCCACAUCCUAUAAUCAUAAUAAAAAUAUCUUUAUCAAUAUAAUCUCUAACCUUAAACAUAAUUUCAAUCAUCCUUAAUUCAUAGGCACUUAUACUAGCUCAAUACUUAUUCAUAUUCUAGACAUAAGUAUGAGUAUCUUGCACAUGCUGAUUUUUAAUAACCUAUACACAUGUCGGAAAAUCAUGAAAAUUUACAGAGGCACUGUGAACAUGCAUAACAUUGCAUACAAUAUUUCACAAAGAUCAGCACAAGUCAAAAUCAAGUCAGAAUAUUGACCUUUCACCAAAGUAACAAAAUUGUCCAGCAUUGACCAAAGCAAACCUUUACCACUUAGGAAAUUCAUAAAAUAUUCUUUAGUAAUUGAAAUAAUAUGUUUCUUUUUUUCUAAUUACAGAAGACACAUUCAGAAAGCAUAUAAUUAAAAUUCAUAAUUUUUGCAUAUAAUUAAAAUUCAUAAAAUUUGGACUCCUGAAACUAUUUUAAAAUGUUUUAUUUUCCGAGAACAUUUAACCCGUCCAGAAAAUUCCAGAUUUGAAAACAGAAUUUCAAAAAUUCGUAUCUUUUAUUUUACAUGCCCAAAAAUAGUGAUUCCAGUUUUUAAAGACAGAGGAAAGAUUGAAAUUUCAUUGUAAAAUCCUAACAUGGCAUGUAAUAUUCAUAAAUUAGCCCAACUGUUACACGUCUCAGCUUCUGCAAUUCUGGAAAACAGUUUCCAGAUUUGCAGCAGCCACAUGUUACGAUUUUUAAUAAUUUAACCAUAAAGAAAAAAACUACGAAAUUAAACAUGUAAGCAUAGGAGACAUAGAUCUGUUGAUACAAAAAUCGCCAUAAUUUUUAAGGAUGUGUAACCUUACAGAAAAAUUUCCAGAAUUGAGAACCACUGCUGAAAAUCGGAAUUUUCCAGCACCAGUAACCCAACUUCGAAAACCCAUAACAAUUUGCAUACUCAGACGAUUUCAACACAAAACCUAUCAAUGGAAAGCUUAGGAUGUCUAGUUCCAUGAUAUUUAAGCAUAUUCACGUGAUUCUAAGUGAAGAAAACAAUUUCAAGCAAGGAAUAGAGACUGUUCAUAUCAUCACAACAUUACAAAUACACAUAUAUUAUCCAAAUCAUACUACAAGUAAUUAAAGGCAAACAAUUCAUAAAAAUAAAUCAUAUAAGUCAAAGAAAUACUUAAUACCUUAAGGCAAACACUAAGAAAAGAAGUUAUAAAACUUUCUUUUCCUGCUCCAAAGACUUAUGUUUCUUUUUUUUUUUAAGGGUUUGUAAGGGUGUAAAAAAAUAAAAGACGACUUCUUAGCACAGGAGAUUGGAGACCGAUCAAAUUGGCUUGCAAUGGUACCCCUCUGACACAUUUGUUUUUUUGCUGAUGACCUAUUGUUGCUUGCUGAGGCGGCAUCUGGGCAAGCCAGGGUAAUUAACACAGUCUUUGAGAAUUUUUGUAAUAGCUCUGAGGCGAAGGUUAAUAAGACCAAAACUCAAGUAUUUUUUUCAAAGAACAUUAGUGAGAAGGAGAGGAACCGUAUUGGGAAAAUGCUUGGUUUCACUAUUACUAAAGAUCUUGGCAAGUAUCUUGGCAUGCCGCUUCUUCACUCCCGGGUUUCUAAGAGUACUUACUAAGAUAUUCUUGAUAAAAUGGAACAAAGGCUCUCUGGAUGGAAUGUUUCCCACUUAUCCUUGGCUCGCCGGAUUACGAUAGCCCAAUCUAUUUUGCAAGCUCUCCCUAUUUAUGCAAUGCAGUCAACCGACCUUCCUGCCGGGAUAAAACUGAAGAUAGACCAAGCAUGCAAGCGUUUCAUAUGGAGUGGUACUGUAACUUCUCAAAAACUAAGUAUGGUAAGUUGGAAUAAUAUUUGUCAGCAUAAAAUUAAUGGCGGUUUAGGCUUCAAAAGUCUGGAUGGGAUGAAUAAGUCCUUUCUCAUGAAGGUUGGUUGGGGUAUUCUUUCAUCUCCUUCAAGUCUAUGGUCUCAGGUUUUGUCAACUAAAUAUGGGGUGGAUUUAUCUGUCCUUCCUACUUAAUUGCCGUGUAGAAAUGGCUCCCACUUGUGGUAGUCGAUUGGGAAGGUUUGGACUGACGUUCUCUCAGGUGUUGCUUGGAAUAUAGGUGAUGGCACUAAAGUCUGAUUUUGGUUUGAUCGUUGGGUGAUAAAAGAAAAACCUCUGAUUUCUGAAGCUCUUUGUCCGAUACCCAAUGACAUAAUCUACAUUGUAGUGGCUAAUUUCAUAGAUAGUAAUAGUAGUUAGUGGUGGGAGCUGUUUCAACGUUAUCUACCUAAUAACAUUAUUCUGCAGAUAGCCUCUUGUGUUCUCCCUUUAGCUCAGUGUGGAAAUGACUGCUUUUAUUGGGUGAACUCUAAAAAUGGAGAUUUUUUCGGUUAAAUCCGCCUACCAUGCCAUUAGUUCCCAACGGUAUCAAGCGGAAGACAGAAUUUGGAACUUGGUGUGGCAUUGGCAGGGGCCCCAUAAUAUGAUCGCAGUGGUGUGGGAUAUCGUGAUGAUCGUUCUAGGAGUGUCCAGCAGACUUCUUGCCCUUUAUGUGGCAGGAAUCAUUAGAGCUAGUGUCGUGUUGGAGAUAGAGUUUGUUAUUUGUGUGGUCAGUUUGGACACAUCAGGAGAUUCUGCCCUACUUUAUCUAAGGGUGAUAGCUCUGCCGGAGGGACAGCCUCACGGUAUCGGCCUUAUUCUGGCCAGACUCAGGGUCAGAAAGGAGUUCAGAUAGGAGGUUCUACAUCUACCUUUAGGAGUCAGACGACUGCUCUAGGUCAGAGAGGUUAGCCUGGUCGACCUCAUACUCAGGCUCGAGUUUUUUCUUUGACGCAGCAGGAGGCACGUGCUGCACCAGAAGUUAUUAUAGGUAUAUUAUCUAUCCUUGGCCGCGAGGCUCAAAUUCUUGUUGAUCCUGGAUCCACACACUCUUUUAUUUCUCGUACUUUUGCUAUGCACAUAGCGCGAGAGCCCGAACUGCUAGAUUGUGGUUUAGUUGUUCGUACACCUACUGGAGAGUCAUUACUUACUGAGAGUGUUUAUCGAGAUUGUAUGAUGGAAUAGGUGAACAUGAAUUUGAGGCGAGUUUGAUUUCCUUAGACAUUCAUGACUUUGAUGCUAUUUUGGGCAUGGAUUGGCUUAAAUCUCAUUAUGCUACGGUGGAUUGUUUCAAAAAGGAAGUUGUGUUUAAAGAGUCAGGGAAAACUAAAGUGAAAUUCUGUGGAGAGCACAAAGUUCUACCUUCAUGUGUUAUAUCUUCCAUUAGUGCAAGACGAUUGCUAAGAAAAGGAUGCUCAACUUAUUCAGCUAAUGUGAUAGAUACAGAAGCUCGAGAAUUGAGAUUAGAGGAUAUUGCAGUAGUCAAAGAAUUUCCAGAUGAACUUCUUGGGAUGCCACAUAACAGGGAAGUCGAGUUUUCUAUUGAUUUAGUCCCUGGAACAUCUCCUAUAUCUAUGGCACCAUACAUGAGGGCUCUAGCAGAAUUGAAGGAACUAAAGGUUCAAUUGCAAGAGUUGGUGGAGAAAGGGUUUAUUAGACCUAGUGUGUCCCCGUGGGGAGCUCCAGUCUUGUUUGUUAAGAAAAAGGAUGGGACUUUUAUACUCUGCAUCGACUACAGGCAAUUGAAAAAAGUUACGGUACACAAUAAGUAUCCACUUCCGCAUAUUGAUGACUUGUUUGAUCAACUCCAGGAGGCGAAGGUGUUUUCUAAGAUCAAUUUGCGCUCGGGUUACCAUCAGCUUAGAAUUAAAGAUGUCGACGUUCCUAAAACAACAUUUAAAACCCGUUAUGGGCACUAUGAGUUCUUGGUGAUGCCAUUCAGAUUGACAAAUGCUCCAGCAGCCUUUAUGGAUAUCAUGAAUAAGGUAUUUCGUCCGUACUUGGAUCGGUUUGUGAUUGUAUUCAUUGAUGAUAUCUUGGUGUAUUCCUGAAGCGAGGAGGUGUAUGCAGAGCAUUUGCGGACUAUUUUGCAGACUUUGAGAGAGAAGUAAUUAUAUGCCAAGUUCAGCAAAUGCGAGUUCUGGUUGGAUAGAGUAGUAUUUUUUGGCCAUGUGAUAUCAGCAGAAGGUAUUUAUGUUGAUUCUCAAAAGAUUGAAGUAGCUGUGAAAUGGGAACGGCCUACAAAUGUCACAGAGGUUUGGAGUUUUCUUGGAUUGGCUGGUUAUUAUCGUCGAUUUGUGGAGGGAUUCUCUAAGAUUGCUACUCCUCUGACAUAGUUAACCAAAAAGAAUGCUAAGCUCCAGUCGGAUGAUAACUAUGAGAAGAGUUUUCAAGAACUUAAGACAUGUUUAACCUCAGCACCAGUUCUUACACUUUCAUCUGGUAAUGAAGGAUUUGUGGUUUAAAGUGAUACCUCUAAGGAGGGAUUGGGUUGUGUGUUGAUGCAGCAUGUGAAAGUGGUGGCUUAUGCUUCUAGACAACUUAAAAAGCAUGACCUAGAACUAGCAGCAGUGGUGUUUGCACUCAAGACAUGGAGGCAUUACUUAUAUGGGGCAACAUGUUAGAUUUUCACUAAUCAUAAAAGUCUGAAGUAUUUGUUUACUCAGAAGGAAUUGAAUUUGAGACAGAGGAGAUGGAUUGAGCUAAUUAAGGACUACGAUGCACUAUUGAUUAUCAUCUGGGCAAAGCAAAUGUGGUAGCUGAUGCACUAAGUAGAAAGUCUUCUAGCUCUAUAGUUCACUUGCAAGUGAAAUAUAUGCCUCUGCUGAUCGAGUUCAGAUCUUUGGGAGUCGAGUUAAACGCUGACGAUUGUGGAACUUUGAUAGCUAAUUUUUGAGUUAGGCCGACUUUGAUUAAUAAAGUUCACCAGAUGCAAGCUCAGGACCUAUUGUUAAUGAAGUUGAAAGAGGAUGUGCAAAAAUGUUUACGAACUGAUUUUACGGUGAGAGGCGACAAAGUCUUAGUCAUGGGUAAUAGACUCGAUGUACCUAAUAUUAAAACUAUGAAAGAAGAGAUUAUGGAAGAAGCUCACUGUUCAACAUUUGCGAUGCAUCUUGGUAGUACGAAGAUGUACCACACCCUGAGAGAUCAUUACUGGUGGCAGGGCAUGAAGAGAGAGAUAACAGAAUUUGUUUCUCGAUGUUUAGUCUGUCAGCAGAUUAAAGCUGAACACCAGAGGCCUGUAGGGUGUUAUUAGCCGCUUCCUAUUCCUUAGUGGAAGUAGGAGCACAUCACUAUGAAUUUUGUAGCAGGACUUCCACGUACUCUGAAAGGACAUGAUCGUGUUUGGGUGGUUGUUGAUCGACUUACAAAAUCUGCUCACUUCUUACCAUUCAAAAUCACCUACUCGAUGGACAAAUUGGGGAGUAUUUAUGUGGCUGAGAUAGUUUGACUUCACGGAGUACCUGUGUCCAUAGUCUCAAAUAGAGAUUCCUGGUUUACUUCUAAGUUUUGGACCAGUUUGCAAAAUACUUUAGGUACCAAGUUGAACUUCAGUACAACUUUUCAUUCACAGACUGAUGGACAGUCAGAGUGCACUAUUCAAACUCUGGAGGAUAUGUUGCGAGCUUGUGUUAUGGAGUUUAAAGGUAAUUGAGAUAAUUAUUUACUUCUGAUGGAGUUUGCUUACAACAAUAACUAUCAAGCUAGUAUCGAGAUGGCACCAUAUGAGGCUUUGUAUGGUAGAAAAUGCAGGACUCCAGUAUGUUAGGAUGAGGUUGGUGAGCGGAGGUUACUCGGUCCAGAACUUGUCCAGGAUACUAACGAGAAGAUACAAUUGAUCCGGGAUAGAUUAAAGGUGGCCCAAGAUAGACAAAAGAGCUAUGCAGACAAGCGUAGGGGGGAACUUGAAUUCCAAGUUUGUGAUAGAGUUUUCAUACGGAUAUCUCCUUGGAAAGGGGUGCUUUGAUUUGGGAAACGUGGGAAGCUAAGCCUAGGUUACAUUGGGCCAUAUGAGAUCAUUGAGCGCAUCGGUCCGUUAGUUUAUCGAUUAGCUCUACCACCCGAGUUAUCCAGAAUCCACGAUGUGUUUCACGUCUCAAUGCCCCAUAAGUACAUAUAUGACCCGAGUCAUGUGUUAUCAAAGCAACUAAUUCAGUUGAAGGAAGAUUUAACUUACGAAGAGGAACCAAUGGAGAUACUGGAAGAGAAACACCAAGUUCUACAUUCUAAGACCAUUCCUCUAGUAAAAGUACGGUGGAGGAAUCAUACAAAGGAAGAGGCUACCUGGAAACAUGAGGACUUAAUGCGAGCUCAAUAUCCCCAUAUUUUCUUAUUAGGUACAUAAAUUUCGAGGAUGAAAUUUUUAUAAGAGGGGAUGAUUGCAACAAAUGUGAAUUAAAAAUGAAUAAGUAUGAGGUGGUAAAGAAGUUAGUAAAAACAAAAGAAUAAGCUGGAAACAGAGGAAACAUAUGCACGUGUAACAGAGAGUGAGAGAGAAGGUGCCAAACCGACCCAACUACAGACCCACCUUGACCCGGCCAUAUCUCCUAUUUCCGGCCACCGUUUCGGCCGAGUUUAGUACCAAUCUGAAAACCCGCGACUGUUUCGUUUUGUUCCGCCAGGAUUUUCACCGGUUUUGGGUGACACGACCAGUUGGAUUUUGUUCCUCAUGACUCCCUCUUCCAUUUUCAACUGUCCAUAGCCACUGAAAGUCACUGUUUUGCCACUGGUCAAUUAUUGGAAUUCACGGCUAUUGAGCUAGAUUCCGGCCUCGUUGCCGUGCGUUGGAGCUCACUGCUGGUACCAUUGAACUCAACGUGAUUGGAACUUUCAGAAUUGAGCUUCCCGGCCAGCGUUGACCAAACUCCGGUGACCGUUGACCGGCAAGGGCAUUUCAGUAAUUUCACACGCCGAGGGAAAUUUUGUAAUUUCUGAGCCUAUGGAUAUUUUAGUAAUUCCUAGAAUUGAGGAUUGGGUGUAAUUACGAUUCCGAGGUUAAUUCGGUGAUUUACAAUUUCUGAGUAUUUUAAUGAUUUACGGACUCGAGGGCAUUUUAGUAAUUUUAUCGACAUGGGAGUUGUAAAUUAUGGAUAGAUGUUCGUUUCGAGUGUAUUGCAUAAAUUAUGUCGUUUCCUUGAUUUAAGAGGAUCCGCGAGCGAUAAUCAGUCCACGGACAUUGACGAUAACCAAGCGCGAACACUGCACUGUGAGUGGAAUAUGCAAAACCUAUUUUCGUAGUUAAUUAUGAUAGUAAAAUAUGUUUGCGAAAUAAGUAUUUUUAAUGUUCUGAUUUAAUGAUUUCCUCGAAAUGGAUUUUAUACAUGCAUUGAUAUUAUUUUAAAAUGUUUGGUCAAUGAUUUUCCGUGUCGACUUUGAAUGAAAUAUGAUAGUAUUUUAAAGAUGAGAAAAGUGGAUUUAGAUGUGAUAAUGAAAAGAAAUGUAUGAUUUAAAGUAUGAUUAGAAUAUACAUGAAUAUAAGUAUAGAGAUUGUUUUUAAAAUCAUUCGACAGUACCCUUCCCCUCCAGAUACAGUGAUACAGAUGAGAUAAGAUGAGAGGCCUUUAGAGUCUGUCUGAGCACACAUAGAGGCUUUGGGCUGUGUGUUUGGGUGUUUCUGCCUUUUGGGGGCAUAUGCAUACGGUAUGAUGAUUACAGAGAUACAAAUAUGAGAUACAGACAGAUAUUGAGAUACAGAUGAUAAAUAUGAGAUACAAGCCUUUGGGGCCCGUCUGAGUACACACAGAGGCUUUGGGCCGUGUGCUUGGCGCUUUUGUCCUUUAGGGACUGGAUUAUGCAUGCACAGAUAUGAUGAGUUAUGAGAUGAUACUUCCCUAUCUAUCCGUGUAGCUAAGGAGCGUGACGGUACCCAGAUACGUCAUUACCCGUCCGUUGAGGUCCGGAUAUGAUGAGAUUAUUUCCCUGGGCACUUGUUUGGUGAUGAUUUUCAUUCUUGUGUAUUCUAUAUGAUAUUGUGAUAUGAUUUCCAUGAUUAUUACUGUUGUGGAAUUUCUCAAGAUCCACUGUUGUUAAACAACCAAGCUGAGCUAUCGAACCCAAUCGAUCAAGAUCAACAUUUUUUUUACCAAGAAAGUUAACUAGCUCAUUGCAAGUAAUAACCAGAAAAGAAAGAAGAUGAACAAGAAAACAAUGCACACAGUAUAACGUGGUUCAGUACCAAAGUACCUACAUCCACGACCAAAUAAACCCUUCUGGGCUUGAAGCUUUUAUUUAACAAAGUGUUUACAAUGAGAGUAUUGAUGACAAAGAUUAAAUCUCUCCUACAGAGAAUUUUCUAUCUCUCACCCUAGCUCUCUCAAAAUCGUGACUUAACCAUCCAUCUGAUCAGCCCUGAACUAUGUAUAUAUAUAUAGCUCUAUUGUCCAACUGUUAGCAGUAACAAAUUUAACUAACCCUGGCCCCACACAAAUGCUGAGUCAGCACGCCACUUAGUCACAUAACAGAAUUAACUAAUCAAGCUUCACAAAUCUCCACCUUAGUUGAUUCUGUCCCAGCUUCACCCAGCUCUGGUUCAGAUGGUUAAUAUGCUUGACUUAUAAGCUUCUAACUCCAAUCAAGUUCAGAGAGUUUCUGAACUUGACUGUUGGUAUUGGUUUUGUCAGUGCAUCUGCUGGAUUGUCUUCAGUAGAGAUCUUUACAACAUCCACUACUCCUCUUUCAAUUUCCUCUCUUAUGAAAUGUAGCCUCAAAUCCACAUGCUUGGUCCUCUCAUGAUAUUUGGAGUUUCUGCUCAACUGAAUUGCACUUGAGCUGUCA